Molecule: ribosomal RNA, 511 nt
Filed under: uncultured bacterium
Lineage: Bacteria
Description: bacterial SSU rRNA
Rfam family: Bacterial small subunit ribosomal RNA
Source: RNAcentral
AACACAUGCAAGUCGAGCGCGAAUGGAGCAAUCCUAGUAUAGCGGCGCACGGGUGAGUAACACGUGGGUAAUCUGCCUGGAAGAUCGGGAUAACCUGCCGAAAGGCAAGCUAAUACCGAAUAAGCCCACAGAGUCUUCGGACUCCGAGGGAAAAGAUGGACUCUGCAUGCAAGCUAUCACUUCCAGAUGAUCCCGCGGUCCAUCAGCUAGUUGGCGGGGUAAUGGCCCACCAAGGCUACGACGGGUAGCUGGUCUGAGAGGACGAUCAGCCACACUGGAACUGAGACACGGUCCAGACUCCUACGGGAGGCAAUAGUGGGGAAUUUUGCGCAAUGGGCGAAAGCCUGACGCAGUAACGCCGCGUGUGUGAUGAAGGUCUUCGGAUCGUAAAGCACUUUCGACCGGGACGAAAACCCGCUGGCUAACAUCCAGCGAUCUGACGGUACCGGGAGAAGAAGCACCGGCUAACUCUGUGCCAGCAGCCGCGGUAAUACAGAGGGUGCAAGCGUUG